CCCCAAAAGCAUAAGGGUCCAACCGGUUGACAUCAACCUUAGAGAAUAGUCGGAUAAUAAACCCACAUUCGUACGUGAUCGAGGACCCCUCUACGAUCUUGGCCUUAGAGUCUAACGGGGCUCUAAACUCAUUGAUCCCCUUCAUUUUGGCUUCAGUAAUCAUUUUCGCCUUCUCGACCUCGGCACGAGCCUCGACCAGCUUCAACUUCUCCCUAGCAGCCUUAAUUGUUGCC
RNAcentral lists this long non-coding RNA (233 nucleotides) under Elaeis guineensis (African oil palm). RNAcentral's name for it is "long non-coding RNA (EGUI_LNC030564)". Lineage: Eukaryota; Viridiplantae; Streptophyta; Magnoliopsida; Arecales; Arecaceae. The record is from RNAcentral.